Molecule: non-coding RNA, 87 nt
Filed under: delta proteobacterium NaphS2
Lineage: Bacteria; Deltaproteobacteria
Source: RNAcentral
UCCUCUGGCGGGUUGCGUGCGGAAGCCUUCUGGCUUGCCGGUUUCCUUGUGGGCCGGUCGACCAACCGCGUGCAGCCCGCCUUACUU